Molecule: transfer RNA, 52 nt
Filed under: Parachtes romandiolae
Lineage: Eukaryota; Metazoa; Arthropoda; Arachnida; Araneae; Dysderidae
Description: tRNA-Cys
Source: RNAcentral
UACUCAUUAGUUUAAUAACAUCAAACUGCAAGUUUGAACAAACUCUACUUAA